GCGAGAGCCUGAACCAGCCAAGUCGCGUGAAGGAAGACUGCCUUAUGGGUUGUAAACUUCUUUUAUACAGGAAUAAAAAGAGAUACGUGUAUCUUAUUGCAUGUACUGUAUGAAUAAGCAUCGGCUAACUCCGUGCCAGCAGCCGCGGUAAUACGGAGGAUGCGAGCGUUAUCCGGAUUUAUUGGGUUUAAAGGGUGCGCAGGCGGGCUAUUAAGUCAGCGGUGAAAUUUUCAGGCUCAACCUGAACACUGCCGUUGAAACUGGUAGUCUUGAGUAUAGAUGAAGUAGGCGGAAUUCGUUGUGUAGCGGUGACAUGCUUAGAUAUAACGAGGAACUCCGAUUGCGUAGGUAGCUUACUAAACUAUAACUGACGCUCAUGCACGAAAGCGUGGGGAUCAAACAGGAUUAGAUACCCUGGUAGUCCACGCCGUAAACGAUGAUUACUAGUUGUAUGCGAUAUGAUAGUAUGUGACUAAGCGAAAGCGAUAAGUAAUCCACCUGGGGAGUACG
This 510-nucleotide ribosomal RNA is filed under the name uncultured bacterium. RNAcentral's name for it is "bacterial SSU rRNA". It matches the Rfam family "Bacterial small subunit ribosomal RNA", at positions 375 to 884 of the family's 1533-position model. The record is from RNAcentral.